Molecule: transfer RNA, 61 nt
Filed under: Pachypsylla venusta (hackberry petiole gall psyllid)
Lineage: Eukaryota; Metazoa; Arthropoda; Insecta; Hemiptera; Aphalaridae
Description: tRNA-Arg
Source: RNAcentral
AUAUAAGAAGUAAUAUAUACAAUUAGUUUCGGCCUAAAAUAAGAGAUUUCCUCCUUAUAUU